Molecule: ribosomal RNA, 429 nt
Filed under: Bacillota bacterium
Lineage: Bacteria; Bacillati; Bacillota
Description: Firmicutes bacterium partial 16S ribosomal RNA
Rfam family: Bacterial small subunit ribosomal RNA
Source: RNAcentral
UAGGGAAUCUUCGGCAAUGGACGGAAGUCUGACCGAGCAACGCCGCGUGAGUGAAGAAGGUUUUCGGAUCGUAAAGCUCUGUUGUUAGAGAAGAACGUUGGUAGGAGUGGAAAAUCUACCAAGUGACGGUAACUAACCAGAAAGGGACGGCUAACUACGUGCCAGCAGCCGCGGUAAUACGUAGGUUCCGAGCGUUGUCCGGAUUUAUUGGGCGUAAAGCGAGCGCAGGCGGUUCUUUAAGUCUGAAGUUAAAGGCAGUGGCUUAACCAUGGUACGCUUUGGGAAAUGGAGGACUUGCGUGCAGAAGGGGAGAGUGGAAUUCCAUGUGUAGCAGUGAAAUGCGUAGAUAUAUGGAGGAAGACCGAUGGCGAAAGCGGAUCUCUGGUCUGUAACUGACACUGAGGCUCGAAAGGGUGGGGAGCAAACAGG